GAACGCACAUUGCGCCCGCCAGUAUUCUGGCGGGCAUGCCUGUUCGAGCGUCAUUUCAACCCUCAAGCUCAGCUUGGUGUUGGGGAUCCCGGGCCCUUCGCGGCUCGGGUCCUCGAAAUAGAGUGGCGGUCUCGCUUGUCGACUCCUCUGCGUAGUAACCAAACCUCGCACCGGAUAGCAGCGCGGCCACGCCGUUAAACCCCCCACUUCUGAAGGUUGACCUCGGAUCAGGUAGGAAUACCCGCUGAACUUAAG
This 255-nucleotide unclassified non-coding RNA is filed under the name uncultured fungus. RNAcentral's name for it is "sequence contains 5.8S rRNA gene". The stretch from base 1 to 53 matches the Rfam family "5.8S ribosomal RNA", at positions 102 to 154 of the family's 154-position model. Lineage: Eukaryota; Fungi. The record is from RNAcentral.